RNAcentral lists this long non-coding RNA (736 nucleotides) under Sinocyclocheilus grahami. Its description in RNAcentral is "lncRNA (ENSSGRG00000053347.1)". The record is from RNAcentral. Lineage: Eukaryota; Metazoa; Chordata; Actinopteri; Cypriniformes; Cyprinidae.
AAGCACGACUUUAAACCUGAGCUCUGCGUCUUUAGAAAGACGCAAAAGACGCGACGCGCGUCUGUCUAACACCUGUUUACAUAGAAAACAUGGAAAAAAAGCGCAGAUGAAUGCAAAAAGAGGCCUGUGUGAACGUCCUCUUUACUGUUGUAUAUGGAGCACCUACAGCCAGGUGGAACAUCAGCGGUAGAACGCAUUGUGACGCCAUAGUUCAGAGGCGACUUCAGUGGAAUCUGUUCAGAGCAGUUCAUCUGUGACUGAAGUUGUUCAGACCGUUUGAACUGUUUGUGAUCGCAAUGAAAAGCCGAAAAAGCAAGACGCUGGCAAGGCCAAGCAUUACUCCUACUUUUGAGAGCCCUUCCCAGACCCAGUUACCUCAAUUUACACCUUCCUUGCCUGGCCCAUCUUCUAACACGAGGCCUCCAUCCAGGCGCAUGAAGGGAAGACAAAAAAAAGUUGUGUUUCCUGACAUUGGAAAUGCAGUGAAUUCUGUGACCAGAAGAAACGGCACCGGAGACCCUUUACCAUCCGUCCCGGGAAUUCCAGCAGUGCCAAAAGGCGACCAGAAUGGGAAGACUAUGUGCAGUGAUGCUGCGACCUUUCUCUCUGCCACUGACAGGGCCAGACUUUUUGGCAUCAACAAGUGGUAUUAGAGUCCGGGGAGGAGAUGAAAUCAUCAGAAAAGAAGAAAUCUGUUCAAAAGAGAAAAACUAAUCUAUGUAAAAUAAUAAUUGUG